AACUAAGUUUGUUCUGGGUAUAAGCUUUCGUGUGCAUGCACACUUCUUCAGAUAUCUGAAGAAGAUAUUCGUCUGAAGAAGUGUGCCUGCACAUGAAUGCUUAUACCCAGAACAAACUUAGUUGG
Molecule: non-coding RNA, 125 nt
Organism: Podarcis lilfordi (Lilford's wall lizard)
Lineage: Eukaryota; Metazoa; Chordata; Lepidosauria; Squamata; Lacertidae
Source: the annotation of a GenBank genome assembly